UACGGAGGGUGCAAGCGUUAUCCGGAAUUACUGGGUUUAAAGGGUGCGUAGGCGGCGACAUCAGUCAGAAGUGAAAGUUGACGGCUUAACCGUAAAAUUGCUUUUGAUACUGUGUGGCUUGAAUUAGGUUGAGGUUGGCGGAAUGUGGCAUGUAGCGGUGAAAUGCUUAGAUAUGCCAUAGAACACCGAUUGCGAAGGCAGCUGACUAGACCUAUAUUGACGCUGAGGCACGAAAGCGUGGGGAGCGAACAGG
Molecule: ribosomal RNA, 253 nt
Filed under: uncultured bacterium
Lineage: Bacteria
Description: partial 16S ribosomal RNA
Rfam family: Bacterial small subunit ribosomal RNA
Source: RNAcentral